GCGGCACGUGCGAUCGCCCGCGAGGGCGGUCACGAAGCCCUGACGAGUAGGAGGGUCGCGGCGGUGAGCGCAGAAGGGCUGGCCGCGAGGCCGUCUGGAGCCGCCGUCGGUGCAGAUCUUGGUGGUAGUAGCAAAUACUCCAGCGAGGCCCUGGAGGACUGACGUGGAGAAGGGUUUCGUGUGAACAGCCGUUGCACACGAGUCAGUCGAUCCUAAGCCCUAGGCGAAAGCCGAUGUCGAUGCGGUGUAGUUUUUACCAAAUAUAUAUAYRUAUGUAUAGAGCGAGAACACACCCGUCGGGCGAAAGGGAAUCCGGUUCCUAUUCCGGAACCUGGCAGC
This 339-nucleotide ribosomal RNA is filed under the name Sonchiacalles sonchi. RNAcentral's name for it is "eukaryotic LSU rRNA". It matches the Rfam family "Eukaryotic large subunit ribosomal RNA", at positions 1335 to 1632 of the family's 3401-position model. The record is from RNAcentral. Lineage: Eukaryota; Metazoa; Arthropoda; Insecta; Coleoptera; Curculionidae.